GACGAACGCUGGCGGCGUGCUUAACACAUGCAAGUCGUACGGUAAGGCCCUUUCGGGGGUACACGAGUGGCGAACGGGUGAGUAACACGUGAGUAACCUGCCCACAACUUUGGGAUAACGCUAGGAAACUGGUGCUAAUACUGGAUAUGUGCUCCUGCUGCAUGGUGGGGGUUGGAAAGCUCCGGCGGUUGUGGAUGGACUCGCGGCCUAUCAGCUUGUUGGUGGGGUAGUGGCCUACCAAGGCGGCGACGGGUAGCCGGCCUGAGAGGGUGACCGGCCACAUUGGGACUGAGAUAGGCCCAGACUCCUACGGGAGGCAGCAGUGGGGAAUAUUGCACAAUGGGCGCAAGCCUGAUGCAGCAACGCCGCGUGCGGGAUGACGGCCUUCGGGUUGUAAACCGCUUUCAGCAGGGACGAAGCUUUUUGUGACGGUACCUGCAGAAGAAGCACCGGCUAACUACGUG
This 464-nucleotide ribosomal RNA is filed under the name uncultured bacterium. Its description in RNAcentral is "partial 16S ribosomal RNA". It matches the Rfam family "Bacterial small subunit ribosomal RNA", at positions 28 to 507 of the family's 1533-position model. The record is from RNAcentral.